Molecule: ribosomal RNA, 403 nt
Filed under: uncultured bacterium
Lineage: Bacteria
Description: partial 16S ribosomal RNA
Rfam family: Bacterial small subunit ribosomal RNA
Source: RNAcentral
GACGAACGCUGGCGGCGUGCCUAAUACAUGCAAGUCGAACGCAGUGGGGACGGGUGAGUAACACGUGGGUAACCUCCCAUCAGAGGGGAUAACCCUUGGAAACAGGUGCUAAACCGAUACUGAUGGAUGGACCCGCGGUGCAUGAGCUAGUUGGUGAGGUAACGGCUGACCAAGGCCACGAUGCAUAGCCGACCUGAGAGGUUGAUCGGCGACAAGGGGACGGAGACACGGUCCAGACUCCUACGGGAGGCAGCAGUGGGGAAUAUUGGACAAUGGGCGAAAGCCUGAUACAGCCAUGCCGCGUGUGUGAAGAAGGUCUUCGGAUUGUAAAGCACUUUAAGUUGGGAGGCGUUACCAACAGAAUAAGCACCGGCUAACUUCGUGCCAGCAGCCGCGGUAAUUC